This 385-nucleotide long non-coding RNA is filed under the name Equus caballus (horse). Its description in RNAcentral is "lncRNA (ENSECAG00000057718.1)". The record is from RNAcentral. Lineage: Eukaryota; Metazoa; Chordata; Mammalia; Perissodactyla; Equidae.
AAACAACUACGAUACAGGACUAUGAACUGUUAAAAGAUGAACUGAGGCAUAUUAAAAUUUUAAGAGUUUCUUUGAACACAAAUCCAUUCAAAAUCAAGGAGCACCAACCCAGAAGCGGCUAGAAGCGCUCCACUGGCGAAAAAUGUUUACAGAGGAAAAGCAGAAGCAAAAUUUCUAAACACAGUGGAAGCCAUGAGAGAGAAUAUCUGAAGCAAUUCAUUAAAAUCUUGGCAGCGGGGCCCACAGCUCUGCUCCCUCUGAAAGCUGCCUUCACUGAAGCUGAAGCGUUCCCAGCAGCUCCCUCCACAGAAGACCUAUUGUCAGCACCUCUGGAGGGGCAGUCCCUGGAGAAGCUGCGUCAGUCAAUCAAGGGUCUUGAAUAAAU